Canis lupus familiaris (dog) is the source of this 3542-nucleotide long non-coding RNA. RefSeq lists it as uncharacterized. The record is from RefSeq and is a predicted model, not a curated record. Lineage: Eukaryota; Metazoa; Chordata; Mammalia; Carnivora; Canidae. The transcript has 3 exons.
GACUUCUCGACUCUGCUUCAGAGAUAAAUCAGAUCAGAGUAAGUCUGAAGGGUCUUUCCUUCCCAGCUUUCCUUCCUCUUCUGCCUACUUGUCCAUUUAUCCAUUCACCCAUUUUUCCGUUCAUGUGUCCAUCCAUCUAACUGUCUCUCCACCCAUCUUUAUAACCAAUCACAAAACCAUCUAACUGACAGACUCCACCCAACUACCCUACUACCUAUUCAGCUACCCAUCUACCUCUCGAUUAAUUUACCUUCACAAUGUCAGCAAAUAGAUUUUUAAGAUUCCAACACGUAAGAGGCACUGUAUUAGAUUCUAGAAUACCAGCCUGAUACAUGACCUGUGUCAUUUGAGUUACUGGAACAUGCUUUUAGCUCUGAUAUUCCAUAAAACAUGGACAUCCAGGACAGGGACCCUACCCUCAUUUAUUCAACAGAUCCAUAUGCACGGCAUAUGCUGAGUGCAUACUGUACCUGACAAUUUUCUAGACACUUGGGAUCCUGUGGUGAACAAGACAGACAAUCCUUGACCUCAUAGAGUUUAUAUUCUAAUACAGGAAACAGAUACUAAGUGAGUAAACAAAAAGGUAAAGAUUAUUAUAUGUGCUCUGUGUGCCAAGUAGGGGCUAGGCUCCCUCAGGGAGUUUCCAGUCUGGUUGCAAGUGAGACGGGUCUGGGAAAAGAUAAUAUUCCCAGGCUCUGUGCAUGUGUGAUGUGUUCCAAACCGGAAUGCACUUAAAUAGGAAGGGCCACAGGUGCCCAGAGGGGCAGCCAAGGAGGACUUCCCCAGGAAGGGAGGCCAGAGUUCAGCCUAGGAAGUCACAAUACCAGGAACCUACUAAAACAUGCAGACCAAGUGCCAUAUGCCCUGGAUCCAGUGUUGGCCUCCAUACCAACUUGCUGGGUAAAGCCAGUCACUUGCCCACACUGAGCCCCUGUCCUAGCACCACAAAAUGAAGGGGUUGACUAAAAAAGCUGUAAAGUCUUCUGGAUCAUGACUCUGACAUCUAUAACUUUAAUUAAAAGGGGAGACAUAUUUAUAUUAUGUUUUAUGGUGGCAUUCUUGAAUACACCAUUUUGAGUAAUAAUCCUUGUAACGUUCUUGUGAGGGAGGAGGUGCUACCUCCAUUUUGCAGGAUGAGAACACUGAGUUUUUUCCACUCUGUCAAGCCACCUUCAGUCUUUCCUUUCCUUUUGAAGAUUUGGGAAAAGCUUCACUGGGGAUGGUUGAAUGUGUGUGUGUCUGAAAGGGUAGGUAUUAGGGGUACCGGAGCCCCUCUUUGUGUAGUGCCUCAUCUAAGAUGGCAAAUGCUUAUUUUCAUUUCUGUUUGAAGAAAAAAAAUCAAAGAAUGGUUUUGAUGUCUUAAAUAGCUGGAACACUGGACCAGAAGGCAUUAUAAAUAACUGCUUUUCUAUCAUACAAACUCUUGGCAGCAGCCACUUGGUCUUUAAUGGCAGAACUGAGACUCAAACCCAGGGCUGUUUGAUGCCCUAAACCUCCUCCUCUUUCCCAUGUCUCCAUUUCAGGGCUCUCUAAACAGCCUAGGAGAGUGCCAGGGAGGAAGGAGAUUGGAAGAGAAGGGGGAAGGCUUUUAUUGCACCAUCUUUUCCAAUAUCCCCCAUAUGAGAAAAUUGGGGUAUGUGCGCUCUCUCUCUCUCUCUCUCUCUCUCUCUCUCUUUUUUAAAGAAGCUUCUUGGGCUCUCAGAGUCUUUUUGCAGUGGAAACAGCAAGGCUUUGGUCCAGCUAGGAAUGCUUUGUGAUUUAGCAGGUGCUGUGGAGGCAGAUUCUUUUGUUGAAGGGCUCUGUGUGCACUCACACUAUGCAAACGGGCCUAGCUCCAGCCUCCCUAUUAAUUACGAACAUUUAGAAAUGUUCCUGACUAUACCCAGAGUUCCCUCUCGUGAAACUCCACAGGUCAGAGGCCACACAUGUUUUGAUUUUCUUAUUUGAGGUAUUAUGUGUUCAAGGUAGAUUUAUGCUACAACCUUUGUUUAUUGACUUGUACUUUUCCCUGUGAACCUAAUGGAACAUGACAGACGAUAUUUACAAGGCACGUGUUUCCGAUUAAAUCAUGUGAGACAUUAAAGCCCGAUAAAUGAAAGCCCCUUUGAAAGGCCAGGUUCAGAGAGAAGGAGGCAGUCCCUGGUGGAGCCUUGACAGUGGAGUUCCCCCCUCAGCUGUGGCGGCAAGGAGAUGCGGAAGGUGGCCGCAGUCCCUUUGCUUGGAUGGGUCCUCUUCGUCCAUGCUUCCCAGCUGGGAGCCAGGGCUGCACGGGGGUCUGAAAACAUGGACACGAAGAGCCCCGCUUUCUCUUAACAGUCCACGGAAAAGAGAAGGAGAACAGUUUUUUUUUUAGAUCGUCAGCUGUGUGCCAGGCUCUGUCAUGUGAGUGCUUUCCUGCAGAGGCUAGCUGAACCUUUCGACAACCCUGAGGUUAUCACCUACUGAAGAGGAAUCAGAAUGGCACAGGUUAAGGAUGUUGACUGAGCCCCCAGGAUGGCUUGCAGGUCCCCGAUGGCUCUGCCAUCCAGUGUCUGUGACUCUGGGCAAAUUACUUAAUCUCACUAAACCUUGGUCCCUUCAUCUGUAAAAGGGAGACAGUGGAAGUGUCCAUUAUUAUCCGUGCUCCAUGGUACGUCAGCCAACAUUGCUAUCCUUACUAAAUGGAGGCACAGAGAGGCCGAGUAACCAGUAGCCCAGGUCACUGCCAGUAGGGAACCCAGGCCUUGGGUUCGAGAGCCUUUGCCACCACUGCUCAGGUGGUUCUGGUGGAGCCGAGUCAGGCACCCUGUGGCCCGGGAGGGCAGCUUGCCUGCCGACUCCUGCACGGGGACAUGGGUAUUCCCUCACCCUUCCCCAGACUUCCCCGGAGCAUUAAUGGGAAAGCUCGGUAGGCAGGAUUAGCCUAAUCGGGAGUCUUUCCAUGGAGGUCAAUUAAAGGAUUUGGGUAAAUGCAAAAAGUGGAAACAGCUUGGGAAGGCUUCCCUCACCUCUCCCCUCCCUUCUUUCCUUCUCCCUCCUUUACCCUCCCUCCUCCCUCCCUUCUUCUGCCCCCUAUUGUCUCAGGAGGGGCCUUCGGGAAACUGCUGACCCAGGGACUGAGCACAGCCUGAAGACUCACUUUCUUUUUCCUUAUCUGGACACCUGGUGGCAGGCGACUUGGGAACUAAUGAGAACAGAUUGGAUUUUUUUAUGCUUCACAUUUCUUUUUAGGACCUCUAAAUUAGCUCAACUGCUUUAUAGGAAUAGGGAUUGACAAAGAAGAGGAGGGAAGAUGCCGACCCCCUUCCACCUGGCAUAAUGGAAAAGCUUGCUGUUGGAAACACGGGCUUCCUUUCUACGUAAGAGUCUUUAUUGACCAUCACCUGCCAUUUCCUGAGAGAUAGGACAUCUGAUUUCCACCAACCUGAAGGGAGGGAAUCCCAAGAAAGCACUUGAAACACUGCAGACCAUACAAGACACAUCAAGAAGGUGGCCAUCUACAAGCCAGGAAGAGAGUGCUUGUGAAAUCAACCAUGUGUCAGCCUGAUCUUGGACUUCCAGCC